Molecule: ribosomal RNA, 2608 nt
Filed under: Salmonella enterica subsp. enterica serovar Infantis str. CVM N38848
Lineage: Bacteria; Pseudomonadati; Pseudomonadota; Gammaproteobacteria; Enterobacterales; Enterobacteriaceae
Description: bacterial LSU rRNA
Rfam family: Bacterial large subunit ribosomal RNA
Source: RNAcentral
GGGUUGUGAGGUUAAGCGACUAAGCGUACACGGUGGAUGCCCUGGCAGUCAGAGGCGAUGAAGGGCGUGCUAAUCUGCGAUAAGCGCCGGUAAGGUGAUAUGAACCGUUAUAACCGGCGAUACCCGAAUGGGGAAACCCAGUGUGACUCGUCACACUAUCAUUAACUGAAUCCAUAGGUUAAUGAGGCGAACCGGGGGAACUGAAACAUCUAAGUACCCCGAGGAAAAGAAAUCAACCGAGAUUCCCCCAGUAGCGGCGAGCGAACGGGGAGGAGCCCAGAGCCUGAAUCAGCAUGUGUGUUAGUGGAAGCGUCUGGAAAGGCGCGCGAUACAGGGUGACAGCCCCGUACACAAAAGCGCAUGUGCUGUGAGCUCGAUGAGUAGGGCGGGACACGUGGUAUCCUGUCUGAAUAUGGGGGGACCAUCCUCCAAGGCUAAAUACUCCUGACUGACCGAUAGUGAACCAGUACCGUGAGGGAAAGGCGAAAAGAACCCCGGCGAGGGGAGUGAAAAAGAACCUGAAACCGUGUACGUACAAGCAGUGGGAGCNNGUGACUGCGUACCUUUUGUAUAAUGGGUCAGCGACUUAUAUUCUGUAGCAAGGUUAACCGAAUAGGGGAGCCGGAGGGAAACCGAGUCUUAAUUGGGCGUUAAGUUGCAGGGUAUAGACCCGAAACCCGGUGAUCUAGCCAUGGGCAGGUUGAAGGUUGGGUAACACUAACUGGAGGACCGAACCGACUAAUGUUGAAAAAUUAGCGGAUGACCUGUGGCUGGGGGUGAAAGGCCAAUCAAACCGGGAGAUAGCUGGUUCUCCCCGAAAGCUAUUUAGGUAGCGCCUCGUGAAUUCAUCUCCGGGGGUAGAGCACUGUUUCGGCUAGGGGGCCAUCCCGGCUUACCAACCCGAUGCAAACUGCGAAUACCGGAGAAUGUUAUCACGGGAGACACACGGCGGGUGCUAACGUCCGUCGUGAAGAGGGAAACAACCCAGACCGCCAGCUAAGGUCCCAAAGUCAUGGUUAAGUGGGAAACGAUGUGGGAAGGCCCAGACAGCCAGGAUGUUGGCUUAGAAGCAGCCAUCAUUUAAAGAAAGCGUAAUAGCUCACUGGUCGAGUCGGCCUGCGCGGAAGAUGUAACGGGGCUAAACCAUGCACCGAAGCUGCGGCAGCGANNGUUGGGUAGGGGAGCGUUCUGUAAGCCUGCGAAGGUGGUCGUGAGGGAUGCUGGAGGUAUCAGAAGUGCGAAUGCUGACAUAAGUAACGAUAAAGCGGGUGAAAAGCCCGCUCGCCGGAAGACCAAGGGUUCCUGUCCAACGUUAAUCGGGGCAGGGUGAGUCGACCCCUAAGGCGAGGCCGAAAGGCGUAGUCGAUGGGAAACGGGUUAAUAUUCCCGUACUUGGUGUUACUGCGAAGGGGGGACGGAGAAGGCUAUGUUGGCCGGGCGACGGUUGUCCCGGUUUAAGCGUGUAGGUGUGUGUUCCAGGUAAAUCCGGUUCACUUUAACACUGAGGCGUGANNNNNNNNNNNNNNNNNNNNNNNNNNNNNNNNNNNGGAGCUGAAGUCAGUCGAAGAUACCAGCUGGCUGCAACUGUUUAUUAAAAACACAGCACUGUGCAAACACGAAAGUGGACGUAUACGGUGUGACGCCUGCCCGGUGCCGGAAGGUUAAUUGAUGGGGUCAGCGCAAGCGAAGCUCCUGAUCGAAGCCCCGGUAAACGGCGGCCGUAACUAUAACGGUCCUAAGGUAGCGAAAUUCCUUGUCGGGUAAGUUCCGACCUGCACGAAUGGCGUAAUGAUGGCCAGGCUGUCUCCACCCGAGACUCAGUGAAAUUGAACUCGCUGUGAAGAUGCAGUGUACCCGCGGCAAGACGGAAAGACCCCGUGAACCUUUACUAUAGCUUGACACUGAACAUUGAGCCUUGAUGUGUAGGAUAGGUGGGAGGCUUUGAAGCGUGGACGCCAGUCUGCGUGGAGCCGACCUUGAAAUACCACCCUUUAAUGUUUGAUGUUCUAACGUGGACCCGUAAUCCGGGUUGCGGACAGUGUCUGGUGGGUAGUUUGACUGGGGCGGUCUCCUCCUAAAGAGUAACGGAGGAGCACGAAGGUUGGCUAAUCCUGGUCGGACAUCAGGAGGUUAGUGCAAUGGCAUAAGCCAGCUUGACUGCGAGCGUGACGGCGCGAGCAGGUGCGAAAGCAGGUCAUAGUGAUCCGGUGGUUCUGAAUGGAAGGGCCAUCGCUCAACGGAUAAAAGGUACUCCGGGGAUAACAGGCUGAUACCGCCCAAGAGUUCAUAUCGACGGCGGUGUUUGGCACCUCGAUGUCGGCUCAUCACAUCCUGGGGCUGAAGUAGGUCCCAAGGGUAUGGCUGUUCGCCAUUUAAAGUGGUACGCGAGCUGGGUUUAGAACGUCGUGAGACAGUUCGGUCCCUAUCUGCCGUGGGCGCUGGAGAACUGAGGGGGGCUGCUCCUAGUACGAGAGGACCGGAGUGGACGCAUCACUGGUGUUCGGGUUGUCAUGCCAAUGGCACUGCCCGGUAGCUAAAUGCGGAAGAGAUAAGUGCUGAAAGCAUCUAAGCACGAAACUUGCCCCGAGAUGAGUUCUCCCUGAGACUU